GGCUGGUCCGAAGGUAGUGAGUUAUCUCAACUGAUUGUUCACAAUUUCAGAUGGAACUCCUUGUUCUUCUCUCUUCCUGCUUCUCACUACUGGACCCAGCUGGUCUUUU
Molecule: unclassified non-coding RNA, 109 nt
Organism: Pan paniscus (pygmy chimpanzee)
Lineage: Eukaryota; Metazoa; Chordata; Mammalia; Primates; Hominidae
Rfam family: Y RNA
About the family: Y RNAs are components of the Ro ribonucleoprotein particle (Ro RNP), in association with Ro60 and La proteins.
Source: Ensembl